RNAcentral lists this transfer RNA (75 nucleotides) under Hyphomicrobium sp. Its description in RNAcentral is "tRNA-Val". It matches the Rfam family "tRNA". Rfam says of the family: Transfer RNA (tRNA) molecules are approximately 80 nucleotides in length. Their secondary structure includes four short double-helical elements and three loops (D, anti-codon, and T loops). Lineage: Bacteria; Pseudomonadati; Pseudomonadota; Alphaproteobacteria; Hyphomicrobiales; Hyphomicrobiaceae. RNAcentral also lists the same sequence under 1 other name. The record is from RNAcentral.
GGGCGCGUAGCUCAGCGGUAGAGCAUCGUCUUGACAUGGCGGUGGUCACAGGUUCGAUCCCUGUCGCGCCCACCA